CUUAAUGGUUAAUACUGUGGGAUAAUAACUUCCUAAGCAGUUUUGUGAAGUUUUACAACAUAAAUUUUAUUUGUUAUAAUCCCUGCUGUUUUAUUGCCAGCCUUUCUGCUUAUUAGUGCUUGUUGCUCUGGCAGGACACUUGCCACUGACCUUCAGAACUCCUCCGGUCAGUCCUCCUCGCCCAAGUUAUAUAACUGGAAUGCGUAGAGUCUGCUCAUUGGAGUUUAGGCCCCACCUGAUGAAUUCUCCGGACUCUGGAUUGGCUGAUCCACUUCUAGGUUCUGGUGGAGCUGCUGGGACUUCAGAUAGAAGCUUUCUUCCACAGUCAACUAUCUAUAGUUGGGGUUGUGGACACUUUUCCAAACCACUAUUAUCUCCUGCAGAUGAUAGUGAAGAAGUAUCAGGCAGAAGGGAGGAGAAGGAAAAACUUGCACUGGAGCACAUAGCAAAAUGCCAGCACUCUGGUUUGUAUUUCUCUUUUUAUUUUUAUUAAGUGUGUUCCUUACAGAUGUCUGGCUGACAUUUUGUUUGUUCGUUGCAGAUGUUAGCAGGCUUACAAAUCCAAUUGCUAAGUGGGACAUCAAGGGUACACAAACAGCAUUGCUGCAACCUUUCUCUCCUAUAGUAAUAGCUGCUGAUGAGAAUGAACGUAUCAGGUAUAUGAAGCUAAUCCAUACUUUAUUAUAACUUAAAGUGGAACUGUUAUGAAGCUGGGGAGGGCUUUAAACAGAACAUUGCUUUUUUGUUUGGGAAUGUUACAACAGUUGUUUACAGGACUCUAAAGAUCAUCUGUGGUGAAUUUUUAGAAGUUAUACAUUUCCAAUCAUGUUUACGUUCAGGGUUGGUUGCUCUUGGCAAGACUGAGUGACAUUUAUUAAUUAUGGGGACUUUCACAAUUACAUGACAAUUCCCUAGCAUAAUUUUAUACACAAUAGUAAUUCUGACUUUUGACCUGGUCAGAGUAUAAUGUUCUUUGGAGUUCUCUGCAGGAUAUGGAACCAUGAGGAGGCAACACUGCUCAACAGUUUUGAUAAUCAUGAUUUUCCUGACAAAGGGAUUUCUAAGCUCUGUCUUGUAAAUGAGCUUGAUGAGAGCUUGCUCCUUGCUGCUUCAUGUACUUUUCUCUGCUGUUUAAUAUUAUACAUUUUAUUCUCAAAUUGUUGUCAGAGCUUUAAUAUUAUUGGGAAUCUUGUGGUGCAGCUGAUGGAAACAUACGGAUUUGGAAAGAUUAUACUCUGAAGGGUAAACAAAAACUUGUCACUGCAUUCUCUUCUAUUCAUGGUCAUAAACCUGGUGUGAGGAGUCUGAAUGCAGUUGUUGAUUGGCAACAGCAAUGUGGUUAUCUGGUAGGAUUAUUCUUUAAUCAUUCUUGGGAAUGUGGGAAAUAUUCCUCUACCCCUAUAUCCUAAAAUCGAAGGACUAAUUAUUUCCUCAUAUUGUGAAGCGAAUGAUUUUCUUAUGGUGUUCCAUGUUACAUUUUUACAUUUAACAGUAUGCAUCGGGUGAGAUAUCGUCUAUUUUGUUAUGGGAUGUUGAUAAAGAGCAGCUUGUUAAUACUAUACCUUCAUCAUCAGAUUGCAGUGUCUCAGCAUUGGUAAGCUUCAGCUAUGCAAGAUGUCUUUUGUUGGUUAAUUUGCUUGACAUAGUUAUUUUGGAAAGACAGCUAAGUAGAUGUUAUACUUUAAGAGGCAUUUACUAAGUAGUUUUCCAUGAUAAUUAUUGAAUUGGUGAGUUUUUGCUUGCCAGCUACAUUUAGAACAGGUUUCUUCACUGAUAAAGUCAUGCUUUGUAAAGUUUUUUUUUAAUGAUGAUUGAUGGCUUAUUACUGUUGAAAUGCCCCGUUCCCCUUUUUCUGGUACUUGGUUGUUUUUGAACGUUAAGACUGAAGGACCUUUGCUGAUCUUAUUAUAUUUGCCUUUGCCAUAGAUAGUUGUCAAUCUCAAAUAGUAAUGCAGUGGCCACCCCCAAUUCGGUUAAGGGCUUUACUAUUCUCAAGUUUUGUCAGACAUCAAAUAAUAUAUAAUAAACUUAACCAAUAUUUACUCCAAAUUAAUGAUAUUCCCGAAUCAUCAAUUGUGACCACCUCCUUCUAGUAUUAUUUUACUCAAUCUUUAACCAGGUAACAAAGGAGUUAUACGAGCAAUUAUCUUUUGAUUUUUAUGCAUUUUGUCAUGUGUUUCAGGCUGCAUCUCAAGUUCAUGGGGGACAUUUUGCAGCUGGUUUUGUUGAUGGUUCUGUCAGACUUUAUGAUGUCAGAGCACCUGAAAUGUGAGCACCUCAGAUGAAUUUCUUCCAUCAUGAUGCAAAUAGUAACAUGGUUCUUGGCUCACUUUUAUUGAUGUGAUUGAAUCAAGCAUCUUUGUUGUUUAUCACCUAUAUGUUUUGAUAUGGUUAUGCAUGCAUCUAAAUAAUGAAUUUAUACUUUAAUUUCCUCAAUCCAUACUUGUAUGUUAAGUUUUUUCGUAAGUACAAACCUUUAAGGUCCAAUUUAGCAGUCUCAAUUUCUUUAAUCACUAAUGGCAAAAAAUGCUUCUCAGGCUCGUCUGUGAAUUGAGGCCUCAUACGCAAAGAGUAGAAAAAGUUGUGGGGAUUGGCUUUCAACCUGGAUUAGACCAAGGAAAGGUAAAAGGAGCAUCUUGCUAGUUUGAUAUGUUUUUCUUUCUUUUUUGACUUUUUGUAAUUAUUAGAUUUAUGAAUUUGAUUUGAAGUGGAUGAUGCAAUUAUGUCAUAUUGUUGGUUUUCUUCAGAUUGUCAGUGCUUCUCAGGCUGGGGACAUCCAAUUUCUUGAUAUAAGAAAUGUUAGGAGCACCUAUCUUACCAUCGAAGCUCAUAGGGGAUCACUCACAGCUUUAGCUGUACAUAGACAUGCUCCAAUUAUUGCUAGUGGUUCAGCGAAACAACUCAUUAAAGUUUUUAGUCUGGAGGGUGAUCAACUAGGCACCAUUCGUUACUAUCCUACACUAAUGGCUCAGAAAAUUGGUUCUGUAAGUUGCCUCAAUUUCCAUCCAUACCAGGUGUUACUUGCUGCUGGUGCUGCAGAUGCAUGCGUUUGUAUCUAUGCUGACGACAACACUCAAGCAAGAUGAAUCUGCAUUUUUUCCAAUGAUUUCAUCGGUUGUCUCCAGCUCAGAAGAGUGCAUCAAACAUCACUCAGGAACGCCACGCAUAUUUCUUGCAGUUGGGUAAUCCUGUUAUGAUGCUUUAAUCCCUCUCCGCUGUGAAUACAUCUGAAAAUAUUGGUAGGGGUAUAUUCUGCCGAUAGUGUAUGCAAGAUAUUCAUUAGCCUCCAUGGUUAGAGGGUUGCACUCGACUGGAAGAAAAUCAUGCUUAUUGAUUGGAGGCUUCGGCAAAUAAUGUCAAUCGUCGUAAAUGUGUGUAAAUAUCAUUUUCUCCAUAAUUAUUUUCUAUUCCUGUUUUGCGUGCUAUUCCCACCUUUUGUAAAUUUUUUUGUCAGAUUACAUAAGCUAGUUUGCUGACAAAUGUGGUCCUGGAAAUGGGGCAUCUCACUCAUGAUUGUAGUUUCCGUUGAAUUUGGGGACCCUUGUUUUUAACCAACGUGUAAUUAAAUUCAAGUUUGUCCAACUGUGCAAUUUCUUUUCUCAACCUUAAAGCGGUUUCUUUUGAUCUUUUAUGCCAUGUCGACAAUAACGCUUUAGCUGGAAUUUUUCACUAGGCUGAUUCUAGUGGUUUUCUUGUAUAUCUUUUCUUAGUACAAUACAAGGGGUUUUUCUUAAUGAAUGGGAAAGAGAUUUUAGAACCUCCUGAUCUUUUCUUUUUAAGGAGGCCACGAAUUAGAGGCUUUGAAAUUCACCACAUCUAAAGUUUGUAUUAAAAUACAAAAUGGCCCUCAAAACAACUAUGACAUGUCAUAUUUGACGGGCAACACGUUUUUGUAUUUUAAGUGCCUUUAUAGUGGCAAACGAUCAAUCAAUGAACAUAAGAACAAGAAAUACUACCAGAAACUAAAAUAUCACAUCAGUCUGUCGUCUGGGGUAAAACUCAAGCUAUUGACUUUAUUAUAAUGGGAAGCUACGUGUAUCAAUCUAGAGCUCCAUAAGCUGCAAGCAAUAAAGCAGGUCCCACUUUUACAGUGUAUCAAAACAUUGUCCCAGACAAGCUGGACGAUGAACCACUACUGGUCAUCUUAACCUUUCCAUGUGUUUCCGAAAACAUUCAAAUCUUCAAAUAACAGGUAAGAUGGAACAAAAUGCUUUUGUCCUGUUGCAUUCGCAGGAGAUCCACCGAUACCUACUCUGGCAGGGAAUGAACUAUCGUGUAGCUCGGGCCUUACCCCUGGAGCAGAAGGAUACGAUACUCUUGUAUUGGCUUGUGUUGAAAUCACAUUCGUAGCAGGCGAGUGAUUUUGAUAGUUCGCAUAUCCAGGUGUAGCUGACCAUGGCGGGGGAGGAUAUCUUGGAAGGGUAUUGAAGAUGUUGAUUCUGAAAUUGUUGCUGUGGUUGAGGUUGAUGGCCGUAUACGGUUUGGGCUUGAUACUGUAGCAGGGGUUGAGGAAGGGAGUGUGAACAGGGUUGGGGUUGGGGCUUAGAUUGCAGUGUUUGGUGCUGUGGCUGAUACUGUAGUGGUUGCGGUUCUUUAUGGGGUUGCAAAUGUUGUUGAUGAGGGCUAUAUUGAUGAUGUUGACGUUGUUGCAACUGCUCCUGUUGGGCUGGUUGGUGAUGCUCUUUGUUCGGAUUCAUAAUGUGUAUGUCGAGAUGAGGGUGGGGAUGAGGAUUGAUGAGUCUGUUGUUGAGGCUGUGGUUGAAAUUCUGACUUAGAUUGAUGUUGAGACCAUGGGACAACGUAACUGUUGUACGACAAAUUUUCCGGACAUGUAUGGGAAGCAAAAGAGAACCCUUCUGUUGUCGACUGAACAGAUAUCAGAUGCAUGCCUUGGCUAGAGGCUGAUGGUGCGUAUGUUGUCUGUGGUGAUGGCGUCAUGGACAAAGUGAUACCAAGUAAGUCAAUAAUGUCCUGAUCCUUUGCAGUACUAACUGGGGCAGCAGGGUUGGAAAUAACUAAUGCAUUGGAUGGGACUGAGGUUGAGGGGUUUGGAACAUGUGGGGUUUUGGUGCUAAUAUUAACUGAAUUUUCGCUGGAACCGGUUGCGGCACCAUUUGAAAUCACAGGCUGUGCCUGCCUGCAAAAAUAAAAAAUAUUGACAUGGUAGAACAAUCUCAUUACUCAUGACCUGCAAUACAUGCUAAUAUACGGGCUUUACAAUUCUAUAACAAAAUUAGGGCUUCUAAGAAAUAGUUGUAGGACAUAAUGAAAUAACAUGAGUGGAAGUAUAAAACAAAAUACAUGCCUAAUGAAACGAUUUUGACUUCUAAAAAGCAAAGGGAAGAUAAUUCACUUGCACAUGCGUGUCCAUUCAUGUCCAUACAUAAAAGACCUAAACAGAUAUUCUAAACUAGUUUAUUUUUAGAUAAGUUAUAAGCAAGCAAGACUGAAAAGAAAAACAUGUUUAUCAGUUCUAAGUGACCUCCGAGCUAGCUGUGCAAAUUCAUCCUCUUCCUCUUCUUCAAUCUGGCUCCUGGUUUCAGAAAGCACUAUGGCUGAAUUGCUAGCUUUAGGUGUUGAAGAAGACUCUCCAGGGCUGGAGCUGUUUAUAUUGGAUUGAUCUACAGUAGAUUGAGCUUCAGUUGAUACAGUGCUGGGACUUGCUCCUUGAAUAGGAAACAGUACCAGAAGCAAUUGCAUCAUGCCUAGCUAGCAAACCUUGAAUACUAUCAUUUAAUUCCAGGCCUCGUCCAAGAAGCUCCUCAUCCCUAUGACAAAACCAAGAUGAGAACAAAACCCACAUAUCUGCAGACAGACUUCACGAAGUAACAAACAAGUAUAUUUGGGUGUGUGCCAGAUGGAAAAUCCGAGUUGAACUAACCCAGUUGUAGUUAGCAUUUGCAUCAACUUUUUCUGGUUUGUGCGACAGCGAUCAACAAGAUCAAUAAUUACUUCAUCUUUUACAGCCUAUAAAGCAUAAAAGCCAGACAUUAAAUCAUUUCACUUAAACAAAGGGAGGAUUCAGAAGACCAAGAAAAACAGUUUAACUUACUGCACGAUCACUAGGAUUCACAGCCUGCAACAUGUCACUCAAAAGAUCCAAAACAUCACGCAUGGACUCCAAGCUUGUCACAUACUGAGUAUUUCAAGAGAAGUUAGCUUAAAAACAAAUCUGAUAACACACAGAAGUUGUCGCACAAAGGAUAGCAGAGGAAGCAAGAGUGAAAAGGAAAAAAUACAAGGCAGACAUUAACCUUAAACUUUCUAUCUCUGUUGCCAUAGUUUCAUCCAGUGUUUUUGAUGAAUUGCUUGGCAUCCCAUAUCCAGCUAGCAUAUUUCUUAAAUUUGGAUGGGUGGAAGGAGUAAAUAUUGGAGCUGCAUCUGGUGUUUACCACCUGGUCCCCCGAAUGGCUCUUGCUAUGAGUCCAGCAAUAUUAAGAUUUUAUCCCUCACUUGCAUAUCUGCCUAAAUAAUCUUUGCAUGUAUUUCAUGUUAGACGAGACAAAUCAAAGAACCCAUCCAUACUUUUAUUAAUAAAUAUUAAGAUUGUUUUGAUAAGUAAAAGCUGGGUGACUUUUACCUAUAAAAAUCUUUGUAUUUUUGUAUCAACGUGUAAAUGGGCUUUAUAACUGUUCAACUCCACAUUACAGCUUUUCUAUUGAAAGAGAAAUACCGUCCUAGACAUUUAACAUAGAUAGUUUUGAGCCAGUGGGAUCUAAUCUAGAAUCAUAUGCUUACUGAUCACUAAUGAUAAGAAUUAUUAAUUAUUUCAGAAAAUGUAUCACCUAAUUAAUUUUACAAACAGUACACCUGUAACGAUUGCAAACUUCCCUAGAUUUUAGAGGAAUUCUCCCUUUAAACAUGACAGAGGUUUAGUCAUAAUGAUCUGGCCUUGUUUAUAACAACAGAUUUUCAUGAAGAAAGCAAUAACAAUUUCUUUCAAGCACCAAAUACAAAAACUAAACCAAGAACAUAUCUUAAGUUUCCCACUAAAACCUUACCUUCUUCCUUAUGAUUUUGAUCAUCUCCUCCAGUAUGUUCCUCUCAGCAAUUUGAAAGUGCACAAAAUCACCGCAGUUCUUUACCAUUGUCUCCAGCAGCUGGGGGUAGACAGCCAGAAACAACAAAUGAAGCUCCAAACAAAUGAAUUUGAAAGUUAAGCAAUUCAGAAGGACACAGCCACAAACAGCUAGUAAUUGAACUUUAGAGCUCCUAUGUUGUAAUCUCCUCUUCACAGCUUUUACAACAUCUUUUGGCUGCCUGAGAAAUUAAGCACGUGGUAUUCAUCGAAGAUUCAGUAAAAAACUUAAAAAAACAGCCUCAAUUUCCAAGAGGCUACUCUAUUAAAGGAGUGAAUUAUAGUCUGUAUUAUCAUCCAUGGACCCUGGUUUUUCUGAGAGGAAACUGAGACUAAAAAUAAUUGUUCAAUUUUGACAACAACAAUUAUGCAUGAGAAAUUUAAAAAUCAUAGAAUUAAAAAAAGGGAAAAAAAUUAAUAUAAUCAGAAAAAAUAACAAGCAGCUUCCAUUAAGUAAUACAAUCCUCUUGUCAGUUUCGUCACACACAAAAAAAAAUACUAACUACAAUCACCAACAACAGCUUUAGCCCCAAACUCCAUCAGAUGACAGAACCAACAAACAUUAAAUGGAACAUCAUAUUCAAAAGCAUAAACAUGUGGUAGUUGGUCAAAGUCAACUCCUCCAAAAUAAAAUAAAAUAUAACAAAACAUGUUGUCGAAAUUGAUAUGCUAUCAUCUAUCUCCCUCCUUUUCUUGUGCAAAUGUUUAGAUUUUAAUAAAAGAAUAAGAUCUUAGAAAUCUUCACGGUGAUCUCUAAAUUGUCUCUACUUUCUUGGAGGUAGACGCCGAUCUCAUGUAAAGUGACAGCUUUUAUUGAGAUUCCUCCUUUUAUUCUCUCUCAAUCUCUCCCAAUUUCCAUUUUUACACCAAGUUUUCUUUAGAUUUCUCUUUACUUUUCCAAUCUUUAGCCAUCCACAUCUAUUUAAUAUAUAUAGUAGUGAUAUAUGAACAAUCCACAUGUGGCUGCGCGCAUGUAUAUAACCUCUUUAAGUGACAAAUUUGAUAACAUGAAAAAGAUGAAUUUUGUCCUUUUAUUAAAAAAAUAAAAAUCAGUAUAUGCGUUUCUCCGAAAGCUUUCUUCCCUCAUUUAUUUAGCUGUGCUGGAUUUUGGAAGAUUCUUACGCUUUGAAUUCGGUGGGAGAUUGAGCCUUCAAUAUGGGUUGGCAUUUGGUGUGCGUGCGAUUUGGAGGCUUCUUUGGAAGUUAGUUUUCGUUUAGGAUUUAGGAUUUUAUUGCAUUAUAGUAGCUAUGUAGGAUUCCUAUUUGAGUUUUAAUUUUAUGGAUUAUUUAGGUUUCCGUUUUGGGUUUUGAUUUUAGGGUUUCGUUUUGGAUUUUGAUUUUAGCGUUUCGUUUUGGGUUAUCCUAUUCGGUGCAUGUAAAGUAUGGUAAAAAUAGUUAUGUGAAUAGCAAUAGGGAUGGUGUAAAAAGGAGAGGCAUGCGAUUUUCAUGUUUAAGUUUGAGAAUGACGAGGUAGGAUGUGGGAGUGGGAAUGGGAAGGAGGUGGACGUUGUGUGGUCCAAUGGGGAGUUUAAGAAUGGAAAGAGUUGGUCGUCUUCUUCGUUGUCGGUUUCUUCUUCUGUUGGGUCUUUUGGAGGGAGUUCCUCUGUCAUUGAAUGGUCCAGCGUGGAGGAGAAUGAAUUGGUGGUUCCUUUUGGUUUUUCGUUGGUGGUUUAUGCUUGGAGAAAGUAAACACUUUGAGUGAUUUUUUUUUCUUCCCUCUUGGUUAAAAAAGGUUGAAGAAAAAAGAAGAACAAAAUUGGAUAUUAUGAGAGUGUAUAGAGGUUGUAUGACCAUCAUGGGGUCUUUCUUUUUUUGUUUUUACCAAAAUGGGGUCGUUGUCAAAAAAAUUAUAAAUAUGGGGCAAGUCGUGCUAACUUGGCAUGACUUCAUAUGUAGAAGUCGUGCCAACUUGGCACGACUUUGCCACGUCAGCCUGAAGUUGUGUCAACUUGGCAUGACUUUUGCCACGUCAACCUGAAGUCGUGCCAAGUUGGCACGACUUUGUCCACAUCAUAUUUUUUUAAUUUUUUUUGUUUUUAAAUAAAUAUAUAUUAUAAUUAUUUAAUUAUAAUUAAAAUUAUAAGUUAUGUAAUAUUUGAAAUUAAUUUGGUAAAUAAAUUUUUUAUGAAGGUAUAAAUACUUAGAGAAAAUGAGAAAAUUAAUAAUCAAACUUGAAAUUGAAUUUUAUUAUCAAGCUUGUUUGUGUGGACAAUUACUUUUAUUGUGACCUUCAGUUCUGCAAUAUGAACAUUUUUUUUGUUUUUCAUAUUUUUUAUUAAUCUAAUAACCAAAUUAAUAUAUUACAUUAUCGUCAAACAUGAUCCAUACACAAUUAUUUAUUCUUUUAUUGCUUAAAACUAACACCCUUAGAAAAUUAUGUAUCAAAUUAAUUUUAAACAUUACAUAACUUACUAGUCAAUAUCUAAAUAAGAAAAUUUUAAAAAAUAAAUAUUUAUAUAUAUAUGAUGUGGACAAAGUCGUGCCAAGUUGACACAACUUCUGCAUAUAAAGUCGUGUCAAGUUGACACGACUUGCCCAUAUUUGUAAUUUUUUUGAAAACGACCCUAUUUUGGUAAAAACGAAAAAAAAAAGUCCCAUGAUGGUCAUAAAACCGUGUAUAGAAGACCUUGACAUUUGUAACCAAAGAUUGAAGUUGUUAGAUGAAGGCUUGACACAUUCAAAUUAUGAAUGUGUUUGAAUUUUGAGUACUAAUGACUAAGUGGUUAGAAGUUUGAAUUUAGGAUGUGGGGUUGUGUUUGCAUAGUAACACAUUUGAUUGAUGCAUAUAUAAAAAGGGAAUGAGAAUCCAUUGGUGGAUUUGUAUAUUUGAUAUAUAUCUAACAUAUUUGUUCGGAGGAAGGACUUGUUAUCUUUGCAAUGUAAUUUUUUUUAAUGAUGUUCCGUUCAAAUUGUUGUGGAUGGAAUUGUUGAAGGAAAUUUGCCAAAAUAAUAAAAAUAUCAUUAUUAGAAAUAUUGUUAUUAUGAGAGUGGGUUUGUGUUUGUGCUUGAACUUUGUACUUGUGAAAUGUUUGACAAAAUGACGGCAUGUGAAGUAUCUGCAUUGACAUAUUACUAAUAAAACUCUGAGGGUAAUAAUGGUGAGAGGUUUUAUAUAUAAGGUUGCAGACAUGAAGUUCUUCUACGUGGAAGAGUUGCCAUGUUUUAUUUUGGAUCAGGGCUUUUCUUGUUGUUUCUAAAAUAAAGCAUUUUUGUUGUUGUUAUAGGAAUCUCUUUGAAAAUGUUAUCGUCAUGAUUGUUGAAAUCACUUUAUGAACUAAGCCAAAUAUACUAUUAUGCUGACUUGGGUAUUAAAAGGUUGUAUUUUGUAAGAUUACUAUACUAUAAAAAAAAAGAUGAAUAUGAUUAGAUUAAGAUUUGUUUCUUCAUUUUAUUUUGGUUAUUCAUGUUCAACAGGAAACUCAUUUGUUAAUAUUUUGAGUCCAUAAAACCCAAAAGUGACUAGUAAAUGACAUGAAAGAAAAUGUUAGGAAAUAUACCAGUUAGACAAAUUGAGAUGACAUGAACAAAAUGUACUAGUGUUAUCAAAGUUUCCAUUCCUGUAGAACAAGAAAUACAUUGCCAAAAACUGGAUUGUAGCUCUACAUUGUAUAAUGAUGGUACCUAGAGUCAACUUACUAAGAUAAAGGCAUUCCAAAUAAUCAUCUCAGCUUCAGCUUCAUUUGUUAUCUAAAACACUAAGAAUUAGUAGUGAUUGAAAAUCCAUAAAAUAGGAGCGCCCAAUACACAAAACAUUGGGAAGAAAAGGACUUCAAUGUAAGAUUGUUUAUAUUGUAAGAUUGUUAAUAGUUUUGUUAUUUCUGUAAUGCAUUAAACAUUAAUUAUAGUGUGCUUUGAAUUUCUAGGUUAGAGUGAGACACACAGUGCAAACGGAGUACAUUGUGGAAGUGAACCGUAAGUUGACUUCUUUUCAACGAGAAAGGAUACAACAAAUCCCUUUUAAGAGAACUCCUAAGUAGAUGGAAUGGAAGUAAGCAAAGUUUGAUGUUUAGGGAAAAAUUAGUUCCUUUAUCACUUAUGGAUAUCUGUAUGGGACUGAGAUUGCGUGUUGGGGGGGGGAGUUGUAAAUUUAGAGGAUGAUACAGAAGGGUUGGUGAAUCAGUUGUUUGACGGAGAGGACAUUAAUGUACGUAAUAUUAUGAAGAAAAUGACUGAUGAAAAAUUUAGGCUGAGAGAAAAUGUUGAUGAUUUUUGUAGGUUAUACAUUUUUCUUUCAUUUGUUGUUUUUUUAUUUUCUUAGGAGUUAUAAGAAUUUUUGUAGCUUUCCUUUUAGACUUUUAGACAAUUUAGAUGCACUCCACAUGUACAAUUGGGGGGGUGCAGUUCAUGAAUCAGUUGUUUCCAGUAUAACUCGGGCUUCCAAAGUAUAUUACCAACAAAGGAAUUUGUGUCAGACAUACUUAGUUGGUUGUGUUGCUGUAUUGCAGGUAUGUUCAAAAUUCAGGACAAUGGACGAUAUAAUGUAAUAUUCAUAAUCUUAAAGCGAAGGUUUUUAUUCACUAAUGUUUUUGUGCAACAACUGUGGCCAGUUGAACAUGCUGGGCUUGACAAAGCGGGAAAUAAUUUUCGCUUUCCUCGAUUUUUGCAAUGGUCGUGUGUAAACCUUCAGUCAAGAAAGAUACAUGAUGCUUUUUUAUUAGCUGAGGUGGAUUAUAUUGUUAACUUUGUGGUUGAUAGUUUUGUCUUAAUUUGUUUAUCAUAAUAAAUAAUUUUGUAUUUCAGAUUUCAUGGGAAUGGUUCUUGACUGAAGAAGAAUGAAGGUUGGAUAUUGUUAUUGAAGCUGUACGUGUUAGUUCACAUGAAAAACAUGAAUGUACUGGCCCUUCUUUUAAUGAAUGAGAAACAAUUCUUCAACAACAUAAAGUUUCCCAAAAGCAAAUUAUAGCCAAUCACAAGAGGCUAUGUGAUCUGCAGAAGGAAAUUAAAAUUAUGCAAGAACAAGUGCACAAAGUAAACCAUUGGUCAGUACUACUUCCUUUUGCUGAAGACCAACCUAGUGCUCGUGCUGAAGACAAAGCCAGUGCUACUGAAGACGUACCCCUUGAUGGAAUGAAGAUAUAUACAAUAAUGUGUUCAUUGCAGGGACUGUACUUAAAUCGAUAAGUGAAUAUAUAAUGAACUAGUGAUACUUACCAUUACUUAAUUAACUUAUUUAAGUCAGUUACUUUGAGCAUUUAUUUUUUAUCCUGUUGCAGUGUUGUUGUUGACAUCAAAAACCUGAUAUUGACUAGGGCUGACUUGCAUUCAUUAAGUCACAGGUCAAGAGUUAACGACAUGGUACAUUUCUUUGUAUAAUCUUUGAUUUGUAUUGAAUUAUAGUUUGUAAAUUGAAAUAGUUACAAUGUAUUUUUAUGUUAUGUUAUUUGCUACUGGUUUCUUCAUGCUUGAUGAAUAUCAUAGAACUGGAGGGGUUGACCGCUUUUGCUUUAAUUCUUUCUUUGCGGUAAGUCAACUGUGUGUAUUUAUUGUUGUUUGUUUUUAUGAUGAAGUUAAUGUUAACAGUACUUAUUGUUUGUUAUAGAGUCGCGUAAUCAAAGAAAUGACCAUGAGUCCCACAAUUUGGCAAAAGAAGGACUACAUGUCCUUUUAUAAAAAGAGUUUCUUUGAAUUAGAAGAGCUAUCACAAUGUGAAUUUGUGAGUGAUUUAUUUAUUUAUCCUUAAUUACCUGUUAAUGAAAUUUAUUUUCAUGUUACGUUAUCAACAUUGAUGACCCAUACAAUUUAAUCUUACGACAAUCUAAAUAUGCUAUAUGAUCUUAUUAUAUGUUUUUUAGUAUAAUAAAUAAGAUUAAGUUAACUUAAGUUUUAAAGUAAUAAUUAUGUGUUAAAUUUUAUAUUAUUUAAAGAGCUAAUAUUAAUUGUAUAUAAGAUAGAUGCACUAGAAAUGAUAUAAUCAAUCUUAUAGAAAAUUUAAUGUGAAAAGUUUUAUUUGAAAAGGAUUUAUUUCAUACUACAAGUUGAUUCUAAAGCAACACAAAUAUUUACAAGGAAAUAAUGUAACAACAACUAAUUUUAUAUACUAUCUUUUAAAUAUAUUAUUUUAGAUAUCUUAGUUAUCAAUGUUUCUAAAAGAAAUAUAUUAAAAAAAUCAAAACUAAUUAAAGUAACUCUUUAUAAAAGAUUAAAGACCAUAAUUUUAUAUGGUAAAAAAAAAUCUAACAAUCAAUCUUUGAGAUACAAAAUCAAUAACUACAUAAAGGAUAAAAUUUUAUAAACUAUGAAAGAAAAGGAUUUCAACUAAGAAGGAUAAUGAUUCUUACCUCUCUUCCAAAUUCACACAUGAGAAAUUUCUAUGAAAACACUUUACAUGUUGAAAGAAAACAUCUUUACACUCUUCACUUUAUAACGUUAGCCAAAAGAGCAUUAGAAUUAUCUACACUUUCUUUAAGAGCUAUCCUUUUUAUUAUAUUUUUGUAUAGAUAGAAGGGAUAAUGUAGAAUACUUAAAUUUCUAAUUUUAAGAAGAUAUUAAUAAUUAAUUUUUGAGAUUGACUUGGUGUAUUCAAUAUAUCCAAAAAUGUUAAUAAGAAUACUUGUUUAAUUUGAUUAUGAUGGAACCUUUUAAGAGUGACUUAAAAUGAAAAUUUGAUGCAACUUAUAGUUGAAGCAAACUAUCAUAAAUAUUGUUGUCCUUCCUACAUUUAUUCUUUUUAUCCUUUGUUAUUGAGUCUUCAUCAAUAACUAUAAUUAAAAAGUUAUAAGAGUUGUUCCCAAUGAUUCUCUUCCCAAAUAGAAAAUAAAGUGCCAAUAGUAAACAAACAACUUUUAUUAUCUGGGAUUACUUCUCACAAAAAAUUCCUUUAUUUACUAAUCUAAUUGCUACAUGUAACCAUUGUGGUAAGUUGUUUAAAUGUGAUCCAAAGACACAUUGCACAUCCAACCUAUUUAAUCACAUUAAAUAGAAAAUCUAAAAUAUUCUUAUGGUGUCAUUAAUGAUCCCAAUAAAACAACUCGCAUAUAUUUGAAAGCCAUGUUGCAAACAACCAAAGGUAUACUGUUAAAGGUUGUUGAAAAACAAUUGUUAAUUUUGUCAUUGAAGAUGAAUAACUAUUUAGGAUGGUUGACGGAGAAGGCUUUAAGAACCUGUAUAGACAAUUACAAUCUUUGUCUACUAUCUCAUUUAGGCUUACUGUAGUUUAAAAUUGAUUUCAAUCAUAUAUGGAAAAAUUAGAAUAAAGGUCUUAUUUAAGUCAAAUUGUGUUAAGAUAACACUCGCUACUAAUUGUUAGAUGUAACAUCUUUACUUUUAAAUAAUUAUAUUAUUCAUUUAUUUUGUCUUUACUAUAAAUAUAAGUUAGAAAGUCUCACGUUUUAACUUCUAUGUUAAAUUUAUAUUUUAAAAGUUAGAUUACUUUUUUUAUAUACUUUUGUGUUUUAACUAAUAAUGGUUGUGUUUCAAAGAAUACUCAAAUUUUAGUUAAGAUUGAUUUGCAUUGAAAAGAAUACUCAAGUUUUAACUAAGAAUGGUUGCAUUCAAAGAAUAUUGAAGUCUUAGCAAAUAGUGAUUGUUGUUCCAAAUAAUGCUUAAGUUUUAACCAAGAUUGGUUGCGUUAUAAAGAAUACUCAAGUUUUAGCUAAGAAUGGUCGCAUUCAAAGAAUGCUCAAAUCUUAGCAAGGAGUGAUUGUUGUUCUAAAGAAUACUUGAGGUUGUUUAGCUAAAAGUGGUUGGAUUUCAAAUAAUACUAAUUUAUUAGUCAAGAAUGGCUACAUACCAAAGAAUACACAGUCUUAACCAGGAGUGUUUGGGUUCCAAAUAAUAUUCGUGUUUAUCCAAAAGUGGUAGGUGAUGACUAUUUUACAGUAAGUGUACCGAGUUAGAAGUAAUAAAUUAUCUCUAAGGAAGGAUAUAAAACCCACAAGAAAAGUUCUAAAAUCCCAAGUAUAACAUUCACUAAAUACAAGAAAAUGUGUAAAAGUUUGUUUGAAAGGUUAUUUGUAUCGUGAAUUUAUAAGAAAUUAACUAAAAACAAAGUAAUUGAUUUGGAUAAUUCAAUUGACAAAAUUGGGAUUGUUAUUCCUUCUCACUCGUUUGUAUUUCCAAUGAAUAAAAACAUAUAGCAUUCUAUCUUCAUUGACAUGAAUGCACAUAUAAAAAUCAUUCAUAUCGAUUCUUAGCAUACAAAAUCAUUAAGAAUGUCUCCUAAAUAUUGAUUCCUUGCAUAUUUAUAAUUUUUUUUUUAUCAUUAUGAAUAGAUGUUAUAUAGGAAUUAACAUUUCAAAUCUAUUCUUUGCAUUCAAAUAUGUUAAGCAUUAUCAAUUAGGUCGGAUACUUAGAAAUACUUUCUAGUCAAAUCUAAGGAUCAAUAUCAUGAAUAAAGAUUCAAACUUUAAUAAUAAAAUGACAAUACCAAUCAUAAAUAAAAAACAUAAUAUUAUAAAUAAAUAUCACCUCAAUACAUAAGAGUUUAAACAAAUUACUCUCAGUCCCAAAUGGAAGAAUUAACCACUCAUGUUGGCCAUUACAAGCAUGAAAAUUGAGAAAAGAAUAUCUAGGGUGUUUCUCCUUAACGACUGACUUCUCUAGGGUUCUCUAUCUCUAUAUAUAUUCCUAGCGAUAUUUAGGGUUUUGCCUCAUGCCUUCUAUUUAACCUAAUUGGACUUAGGUUAAGUGACAUCUCGCUCAAGCGAAAUAUUGCUUGCUUAAGCGAGUUUCACGAGAAAAAGACAAACUUUGUCUUUUCAUCUUGUCUUUAACUUGUUCAUUCUUCUUUAACCUUUUUAUCUCUAUCUUCCCCUAGAUUCACGAAAUUAGCACAAACUUGAUAAUAUAUUAUUUUUAUUCAUCUUAUAAUCCAAAAAUAUGUAAAAAAUUCAAAAUUAGAGGUUGAAUUAUAACUCUAUUAACAAUUAAAGUCCAUAAGUGUCUAUCUUUUACAUGAAAUAUUACUGAAUUAUGACACUUACCAAUAGGGUCCAAAUAAUACUUGUUUUGUAACUUGUAGUGUUAGUCUGUCAUAGUGGAACUUGAUUACAUUGAUUAAGAAUUGGACGUAGUUUGGAUUAUUAGACGAACCAAUAUAAAAAUUAUUGUGUAAAUCUCUCUUAACUUUGAUCGUUUUAUAUUCCAUGUGAUGAGCAUAAUUUUAUUCACACUUUAAAACUUUAAUUAUAGACUCUUGGACUGUAAUCAUGAAUAAAUUCAUUAUUUGAAUUGAUAUUAAUCUAAUUGGAAUUAUUUAACUAAUAAUUUUGUGUUUUUAUAAUAGACGAUCUGCUACACGGUCUGAAUGAAGUAUUUAUCACUGUGAGUAAGUUGAAUAUGCGAAAGUUCAAGUUAUUUCUUUGAAUCAACAAAAACUGAAUCCUGAGAAGAAAAAUAAGAGAAUCAAAUCUACAAUAUCUUAGAAACAAAAAUUGGAAGUAAAUCAUCAAGUUUCACAACGACUUUUGGAAACUAGAACAUUAUGAUUUUCUUAGUUUUCUUAUUUUCUUCUUUGUAAUAUUUUUGUUUUGCCUCCACAAGAAAGACUAAACUCAUUUGGGUCGAUUAUGUUGUAAUUUCACAAUGAAUUAUUAAGUUUUGUGAAAUUAAAGUUUGUUCUUCAAUAUCUUACUGCGCGCUAAAAUGUUUUGUUUUUUAGUAUAAUUGCUAUUUUGAGAAUUUUUUUUAACACAUGUUGAUAAUUCAAUUUUGUCUUUAAUUAAACUCUUGUUUAGUAAGGUACUGAAUAAAUUAGUAGAUACAUUACUUCCGAGUAAGUAGCUAUGGUGAGUUUUGUUGACACAAUACUCUUAAGAAGCAGUGUUAGAGUGUUAACACUUGAUUCAACUCCGAGCAGCGACAUAUCAUCUUAUUUUCUAAAAAAUAGGUCCUAUAAUGAAUUCUUAUUUCUAUUCCUAGUAUUUUUAUUUUUCAUUCAAUAUGGUUAUGAUAUUUUCCACUUUAAAGCAUAUUAACCUAUAUAUCAUUUUCGGUUGCAUCUCUUUUAUUUUCAAUUCAUUUGAUAACCUUAUUAUUAGGCAAUGAAAUAAUAGGAUUAUACAAUUCAUUCAAAAAAAGAUCGUGACAAUAACUUUUUUUUAUCACAAAAUUGUUAGUUACUCAUUGGAUUUCAAACUAUUUAUCAUUUAGUAAUUUAUACAAAUCAUUAAUAUUUUUUUAUGGACUUUUUUUCUAUUUUUUAUACGGUUCAUUGCUAAAAAAACUAAUAUUUGAGUAAAAUAAAAACACCAAGUAUUCUUUUGACUUCAGACUUUGCUACUUUGAGUCUUUCAAUUGAAUUAUAUCAAUUCUUUCAUUAAUGAGAUUCUAUUGUCUUUGACGGAUGAAUGUUUGGUCAAUUCAAUUCCUUUUGAAUAAUUGUAAGAAUACUGUACUUAUUACUUGAUUAAGAAAUUAUUUUUGAAAAAACUAGAAAGCGAAUCUAUUUUCUUUUACUAUUUUAUCAUCUUUAUUUUAUUUUCUACAUAACAAUCUCUCUGUACCAAACCAAAUAGAGGAUAACUUAUAGAGAAUAUUUUUUUAUUAUUCUUUUUAAUAAUAUGUGCACACAUAUGUCAAAAUCAAAUCAUAUUUUUAUAAGUAAAGUUUUAAGCAAAUUUUUAUACAUAUCUUAUUUAUUUGUUUAAGAUUAACUGUUAUGAGUUCACUAUUAUCAUUCGUGUGUAUAUUAUAUUUAUUAAAUCUUAUUUUAUUUUAAAUUAUUUAUUAUUAUUACACUAAUUUAUCGAUAACAUUUGAACAUUUGCCGCCUUAAAUAUAAUGUGAAUCGAAUUCUGUUGCUUCCACUAUUUAAAUUAUUAUUAUUAUUAUAUUAUCCUAAAUGACGUUGCGCUUAUAUAAUAAACACAUUACGAUAUAUUAAUAUUAUUAAAUUCCAUUUUUUUUGAAAAAGGAAACAAUAGUAAAAUUUAAAUUUAAUAGUUUAUUAAAUUUAAUGUUAUUAAAUUACCUAAUGUUUUAUUUUUCUCGUUUCAUUUCCCAAAACCGGAACUUCGUGACACUUGUUUCCGUCUCCCUUGGAGGAGACAGUGGUUGCCGCCACUCUUCUAUGCGCCCCCUUCUUCUCUAUCAUGGUGAACGCCACCAUAACCAUCACUAUCAUCAUCCUCAACAUCACCAUCUUCAUAUCCUGAUAAAAGGCGAGGGUUCUCUCUGCCUCAAAACCCUCCCCUAUUUCAUGUUCGAUCACUGAAGAGGGUUUCUGAUUUGGAUGACAAUGGGAGAUUUGAUGGCCUCUCGCUUUUACCAGAACCACCACGACGAUUCCACCGUCUCAUCAUGUACCUCCUCCUCCUCCGUCGCGGUCGUCAUCGCCAGUUACAACACCGAUGGUUCUGAUUUCACGCCCCGCUGCGACUCUGAAACCGCCAUUGCAAGCAGCAGCGGUAACUACACCGGGAAUGGAGCCACCAGCAUGGCCUACCUGCCGCAGAUAGUCGUCCUCUGCGAGCUCCGCCACGAAGCCUUCGAGGCCGCCAUUCCCGCCGCCUCCGACAUCAGCCUCGUCUCCAAGUGGCGACCCAAGGAUAGGGUCAGUUUGUUAACCUUGUUUGUGUUAUCUGCAUUUUGCUGUGAUGAAUCGGUGAUUUGCGUUACAGAGAGAUUGGAAUAUUUCGAGUCCUGUGUGUCACUUGUUCUGCGUGACGGGAAUUUGGGAAAUGUAGAAAAAUGGGCGUUUUGGUCAAAGUAGUGGCAGCAGUGGUGACUGUGAAUGGAUGACUUCUUUUGACUAUGUUUGUGUAUGUGAUAAUGUUGUGAGGGACUCUUCAAGGACUUGAAAUGUUGAUCUCUUAAACAUUAAGUUUUGUUAAUGCGAGAAAAGAAGGCAAACACAGGAAAGCGCUCAAGGCAAAAAGCAAGAUGGAAAAGUUUGUUAUAUUGAUUCAGAAUAUAUACACAUUGUGUGUAAAGAAAAGGACAAAAAGAAAAUAAUAGAAAGAUAGCGCUUAUAGGAAAGUUGCACCUUAUUCCCUUUUUAGAAAGUUUUAGGUUAAGUAUUUCUUGUGAUUGGACUCAAAUUAUUGAUUUGUUUGAGGUGCUGUGUAGUCUUCUUUCGGCCCUUCACAAGUCAGGUUGGAAGACGUCAAGAAGCUCCAACUUGGAUAAAUUGGAAUGAAUAAGCUAUGGUGGAAGGGUUUUAGUAAGGAUAUUUGCUAAGUGAUGUGAUGAAGAGAUUAGUAGAAGAUGCAUGAGUCCAAUAAUUAUUUUUUCACAAACAAUGUGACAAUCAUUCUCUAAAUGUUUCUUUCUUUCAUGAAAGAUGAGAAUUCUAGCAAUGUAUAAAGCGCUUUGGCCAGCACAAUAGAAAACAUGACUCUUAGUGAUAGGAAUUCUCAAAUCAUCAAGAAGGAAAGAAAGUCAUUGACGCUCGCAAGUGGCAGAGCAAGGACCCUAUACUCGAUUUUUGUAGAAGAUCGAGAGAAAAAAUAGAUUAUUUCUUGGAUUCCAAGACACCAAAGAAUUGCCAAUAAAAUAAAGUAACCAGUGAUGGAACGUUGUGUAUCAAUACAUGAGGUCCAAUCAACAUCACUAAAUCCAAAAAGUUGUGUUGAUGACCUGCGACUAAAAAGUAAGCCUUUUCCAGGACAUUCUUUUAGAUCUCGAAUUACUCUUAAGGCAACUUAAAGAUGAGUUUGAGUUGGUGUGACCAUGAAUUGACUGCAUUGUUGGGUACCAGGUCUAGUGUUGGUUAAAUAUAUGAGACAUCCCACCAAUCGUCGAUAUGACAAAGGGUCAGGUAAAUGUUCACUAGAGUCUUAAUGGAGACGUAGGGAGUCAUCCAUUGGAGUGGAAAAUGGUUUGCAACCCAUGAGGCCAUAAUCCUUAAUCAAAUCAAGACAAUAUUUGCGUUGACUGAGAGAAAUGCCUUGGCCGGAGUUAGCUACUUCUAUUUCCAAAAAACAUUUCAACUGACCAAGGUCCUUUAUAUGGAAAUGAGAAUGGAGAGUGACUUUAAUCUUAGUGAUCUCAGAAGCAUAAUUUCCAGUAAGCACAAUAUCAUCAAUGUAAACAAUAUGAGCAGUGAAAACAUAACCAAUAUUUUUUUAUAAACAAACUAUGAUCAGCAUGGGCUUAAGCAUAUCCUAAAGAUGGCUGUAAAAGAGAUAUUUUUUCAUACCAUGUGCGACUUGUUUGUUUCAGGCCGUAGAGAUUUUUUGAGUUUGCAGCAUUGAUUAGGAGGAUAACUGGAUAGUCAAGGAGGGAUCACCAUAUAAACCUACUCUAAAAUUUCUCUAUGAAGAAAUGCAUUACUGACAUCAAGUUGUUGUAAUUCCCAAUUGUAAAUGGAUGUCAAGGCUAAGACAACUUUGACCGUGGUCGUUUUUACAACAGGGGAGAAAGUUUCUAGAUAGUUAACCCCUUCAAUUUGAGAGUACCCCUUUGCUACCAGGCCAACUUUGUAACGCUCAAUAGUCCCAUCAGGUUUUCUCUUUAUUUUGAACACCCAUUUGCAUUCGAUGGGUUUGACAGAGGGAGAUGUAGUCACAAUAUCCUAAGUUUGGUUGUCAAUUAAGGCUGCAAUUUCAGCCUGUAUAGCCUCCUACCAACAAGGUUGGGUAAUAGCCUCCUGAUACGUCUUUGGUUCUUGCUCAGCAUGGAGACACAUCAGAAAGUGAGAGUGAGAAGAAAACAAAUGAGAAUAAUCAAUGAACGACUGGAUAGGAUACCAGAUCACUGAAGAUGAUUGGUUAGAUUGUGCAAGAGCAAUAACUUGAAGAAGUGUUGCAAUAAUAAUCAUCGAGAUAUUGUAAACGACUGGUGAGGUGUGUGGAAUGUCGUGGUGUAGGUGAGGUUAGAGGUGGUGCAGAAACUAUGGAAUCCGGUGAGGGAGAGAUUUGUUGGUGUGGUGAGAGGGAGAUAGAUGAAGAUGAAGUAGGACUUGUGGCAUUGAUGAAAUCUUGCGGUAUAGGUAGAGUAAGUGGUGUAGAGGUAAGGUGGGGAGAAUAAGGUAUGUCUGGUGUAGGAAUGGUUUUGAUAUAAAGUGGGUUAUUGUCAUUUUCAAGGGGUUCAAUGGUGCUAGAUUGAGAGGAUGAGAAAGGAAAAAUUGUCUCAUUGAAUUGCACAUUGCGAGAUAUAAAAAUUUCUUUAUUGUUGAUAUAAAAAAUGACAUAGCCCUUGGUCCCUAUUUGGAAGCCUAAAAAAAUUCCACAUCUUCAGUGGGAAGUUUUUGACAAGGAGCAUUUUUUGAUGCAUAACAAAGACAACCAAAAAUUGUAAUCAUGUAAAGAUCAGGAGAAUCAUUAUACAAUAAUAUAAUUCAAAAUGAGUUUUAUUUUGAAUAACAGGAGAAUAAAUACGAUUUAUCAUAAAGACUACAUGCUUAAUAGCAUAAAACCAAAAAUGUUUUCGAAGAUUAGAUUGAAACAUGAGGGUCCUGAUAACAUUAAGAAUGUGUUUGUGUUUUCUUUUUACGCAUCCAUUUUGUUGAUGGAUAUAUACACAAUUUGUUUGAUGUAAAAUACCUUUAAAGGAAAAAUAUUUCUUUUGACAAAACUCAUUUUCAUUGUCAGAACGAAGAUAUUUAAUAGUGGUGUGAAAUUGGAUUUCAAUUAAAGCAACAAAGUUUUGGACAUGCAUUUGGACCUCACAUUUUGAUUUUAAUAAGACAAUCCAUGUAAAAUGACUAAAAUCAUCAACAAUGUUAAAAAAAUAUUUAUGACUAUAAAUAUAAAUUUUAGAGAAGGGUCCCCAAAUAUCCAUAUGGUCUAAAUCAAGUAAAUUGCAAGAUUUAUUGAUUCUUGGAGAAUAUGAGAGACAUUUUUGUUUAGCUAAGUGACAAAUGUCACAAUUGUCACCAACAUGCAUAGAAAUAAAAGGAAAAGUCAUGUGCAAAACAUUGAGACGAUUUUCUCAAAGGUGUCCUAGUCUAAAAUGUCAAAGGUUGGUAUUAGUGAUAGGAUAGGUGGUGAAAUUAUUGAUGGAGACUUUGAUGGUUUAGGGAUGUUAAGAGGUGUUAAACACACAUGCCGAUUGAUGUCCAAGUGAUAAAACCCUUGUUUUAAUUUACCCAAACCAAUAGUCUUCAAGAUCCUGUUCUAUAUAUAACAAUUGUCAUUAAAAAAUCAAAAAAUAAUUUAGAGAAGAAAUGAGUUUAGAAAAAGAGAGAAAAUUAAAUUUAAAGUUGAGAAUAUAAAGGACAUCAUGAAUAAGUUUUGACUGAUUUGAAUAGAGUUGAAAAAAUGUGCAAACUCAUGAACACCAUUGGAUAAAUUGAUUUGGAAGGUGGUGAAUGGUGACAAUGGAUAGUGUGUUCUCCAUCUCUCAAUUAGACGAACAAGACCAUGUGCAUGUAAGAGAAAAUCAAGACAGUGGUUGGCAGCUUCGACGAACCUUCUAGGCUGUUGUCAUUAUAGACCCUUUCCACAGUGGCCUUAUCUCCAAGUGACGACCCAAGGAUAGAGUUAGCUCAAUCACUCUGGAAAGUAUGAUUAAGUUGUUAUUUGUUAACUUUGUUUAGGUUAUCUGUAGCUUGCUGUGAUGAAUCAAUGAUCCCCGAUUUGCGCGACAGUGUCCCAUGUGUCACGUGUUUGGUGGGAUAGGAAUUUGGGAAAUGUUGAAAGAAUGGGCGUUUAGGUUAAUGCAAUGGUGACUGUGAAUGGAUGACUUUGUUUCGUUUGUAGGGGUGACAAAACGGGGAGCUUACUAUAGGCCCACCCAAAACAGGACGAAGGUGGGCUGACCCACCAUAAAACAGGUUGAAAAUCUUGGUAUGCUCUCUAAAGAGUAGGCUGGCGGGCCAACCUACCAACUUUUGUUAAUUUUUGUCUUUUUAACUUUUGUUUAUUUAUAUAUAUAUAUAUAUAUUUAUUAAAAACAUAUUUAAUCGUAUAAAUAUUUUCUAAAUUUUUGAUUGAUUAAUUAAUGUCUCUAAUAGGAAACUUUAAAACAAUUAUUACCUUUACAUGUUAAAUUACUCAAUAAUAAUUAAUAAUUGAAACUUAAUUUUUAAGUGUUAAUGAUUUAUGUUACAAUAAUUAUUGUCUUGGUCUGUCUUUGACGGGUUUGGCGUGACAGGCAAAAGUGAGCUAGCGGGUUAAAAACACUAACACGGCCCACCAAAUUUUGGCAAGCUGGCCCGCUGGCCAAGGUUCACUUUACCACCCGUAUUCGUAUGCCUAUGUUUGCAUAUAUGAUAAUGUUGUUAAGGACUAAAAUGUAAAAUGAUUGACCUGUUAAGCACCAAGUUUUGUUAAGACGGGAUCCUUUGAAGUGCAAAAAUGAAAUGUUGAGUUAUAUUGAACUAAUGAUUGAUGAGAAAAUCGAGUGAGUUAUGUGAUGUUUGUGGGUUUUUAUGCAACUUCUUUCUUUACAGUUGAAAGAAGAAGGUUGAAUAUAUCUCUGAAUGUGUUUACAAACGUGGUUACAAUCUAAACUUUUAGACUAUUUACAACCUACUUAAAAUAGGUAAUUAAAACAAAAAAUAAUAAGUAAUUAGAGUUAUACAAAUUAAAUCACCAAAAAAUAUUAAAUCUAUCCUAAUAAAUAGAAAACAGAAUCUGCACUAAUUAUGAAAUAAUUAUCUCCUAAUUAUGCAACAUUGCACUUUGUACUUCAGCUGAUCUUCAAUUCGAUCAAUUCAAAAAUAAUGAUAACGGUAUCUGAUCAUACUUGCAUUGGGGAAAUUUCCUCUAUUAAUUGUGAGCUUGGUUUUUGAUGAAUUCUUAUUUUGCUAAAGAUUUGGCUGUAAAAGUGGAUAAAGUAUCCUGGAAUUUGCUUGAUUGAAUUAGUGAUUUUGGAAUGAAGGUGGGGGAAAGAUUGUUUACAUGUGUUUCUUUAGGGUGGUAGGACUUGUGUAAAUCCUGGUAGCUUGCAUUAGGAAGUGGCUUGUUUACAUGAAAUGGAGGUUGCUAGCUUCUUAUAUUGGUUGAAACUGCUUGACUCUUGAAAGAGGUGGAUUUUGGUCUAAAUGUAUACAUACGUAAAAUUAAGUAUAUGCUUUUUUGUAAAAAUGUGAAAUAAGCAGGCCACUUUUGCCUAAUCUGAUUGUAUCAACUGGAAAUUUUGUGUCAUCAGUUUUCCAAUGAUCUUUAUCUAUUCCCUUCUGUGUUCUUUUUUUUGCAACUAGUGCAAUUGGUUUUUGUUAAAAAAAGUUGAGGCUUCUUCGACAUAAGUAGUUUGAUUGACUGUUAAUGUUCUAAAGGUGUUGAUAGCAUGACAGUUUCGUAUACCCUGGCUGUUUUGAAUUUGCAAUUUUUCAAUCUGUCUUAUUACUAUUGUGGAUGUAACUUUAGAAUGAAGAUUGAACAAAGAGGUUGUUCUCUACUCAAUAAAAUACAAUAUUUCUUGCUGCAUUUGAAAUAACACAUUACAAAGUGUGUAAUGUAUAAAUGUGGUUUAUUUUUCUGGUAAGUUUUAUACUGUUGGUUCGUUGCUUUGUUUUGGGAGAGGGUAGGGUGGAGCUCCAUUUUAAAGAUAACGUUUCUCCCAUUUAUAAAGGAUUUCUUGAAUAAUAGUCUACCUUUGUAAUGGAUUUCUGGUGUAAAUUAUAUUGAUAUUUAACAUUUCUCUUCAUAAUCAAAAUACAUUUUUUUUAUCCAAGUCUCUGUUUAUUCCUCUAAGAUCUUUUAAAGUCUUCUUUAAGAUGUUUAUAUGCUGUAAGAAGUAUGAUCCAUUUUAACACCUAAUUUUGUGAUGCAGAUGAAGACAAGAUAUGUAGCUCUAGUAUUAUGUUUGAACAUUAGUGUGGACCCACCAGAUGUAAUAAAGAUAUCCCCUUGUGCCAGAAUGGAGUGCUGGAUAGGUGUCUUGUUACCUUUAAUCUCAUUUAUUUAGUUGUUGUUUUCUGUAGUUUGUACUCUCAAGUUGUUACCUGGAUUUGAGAUAUUUUGCAUUUUUAUCCUCAAUUCAUGUUUGGAAAUAGCUUCGGGCUUCUUUAUGAUAUUAUAUGACAUGUUUUUGUUAUUAACUAUUUGUUUUUGCAAGUUCAUAUUUCUGAUGAAUUAGUGUGCUGUUUUGCAUUUAUAUUUUAUGGUUGAACUUUUUGAUUCAUACUUGUCUUCAACUUUUUAUCCAGUCAUUAACUUUUUCAUCCGCAGCCUAAUUAUCUAGAGUUAUUUGCAACUUUGUCAAUGAAAAAUGUAGCAAAAUGGGUUGAGUAGAAUCUUUGUGACGUAUCAAAACUUUGUAGGCUUGCGAAAAUGGUUAAGGUGCAAACAGUUUUUGAUGCUUACCUUGCUCAAUACUGCAGAUCCUUUUUCUAUGGGACCACGAAAGGCAUUGGAGUCAAUUGGAAAAACUUUGAGCAGUCAGUAUGAAAGAUGGCAACCAAAGGUGGGAAUGUUUAACUAGCUAACCUUAUCCUCAUGUUUUCUUUGAAAUUGUUUUAUAGUUAACCUUAUCGAGAUCUUUACAGGCCCGCUAUAAAUGUCAACUUGACCCGUCAGUGGAUGAGGUGAAGAAACUUUGUACUAAUUGUCGUAGAUAUGCAAAGAGAGAAAGAGUUUUAUUCCAUUACAAUGGGCACGGCGUCCCAAAACCAACUGCUAACGGUGAAAUAUGGGUCUUCAAUAAGGUCAAUGUUUGUAUUUUCUCAGUUCUUGUUGCGAAAUAUUAGUCUCCCCAGAAAACUCACACAAAAAAGUAAAAGGGAGACACUAAAUGAUACUUAGAGUGAGUUUAGUGUCCCAUUAAAUUAACAUUAACUCAAAGGUUGCUAAUGAAUUAGUGGGAACUAUGGGGACACAACUAUUUUUCUUUUAUGAUUUUAGUAUCCGUUUAAAACCUUUUUGUCCACACUAUAAUUAAUAUUUAAUUUUGUGUCUCAAUUAUGUAGAAUUUGGGGACAUUAAUAAUGUUAUUCACUUGAUCCUCACUUUUUUUUGGAGCUAAUUACAACUUUUCUUUGUAGUGUAGUUACUCGAUAAAUCAAAUAUUGUUCUCUUCAUACUGGCAAAGUAGGCCCAGUUGAAAAAGAAGUAGGCAUGGUUUUCAAAAUGGCGAGUCAACUUGUAAACUCGUGAGAAUUUAUGUUCCUAAACCGUCGAACUUAGUUAACUCUUGCAAACAGGAGCAAACUUGCUCAAAGAUCAAGAGUUUUGAGUUGAUUUACCAAAAUGAAUUGGACAUUAGAAAAGAUCCAACAAUGACUCUGGAUUUGUUUGUUUCUAGGCCACGAUUUAUGCAAAACGCACCUAGGGAACAAUUUUAUGGUUCACUGGUUCUAUCUUGCAGGUUUCUGUUUGAUGUAGGUGUCGAUGUUGUGUCCUAUAGCACUAACAAACCUCUCUUGGGGUCUUUCUCAGCUCCGCCCCUUUUCGUGUUUGUGAUUCUCCUGGACAUUUUUAAUCUCACUUUUCUCUCAUUUCCUUUCUCUUGUGUAUCUCAUAUAUAGGGCUGGUGCAAACUACAAAUUAGUGGGUUGAGUCAUAUUAGGGUUUGUUUUUAGGUUAUUUCUCCUUGUACCAUAUCAUUUAAGAAAAAAUGCAACCUAACAUAAAAUUUAAAACCCAACACUACCCUUGACUUCAUGUUUGCUUAUAGAUGCAUAAAUCUGGAAGAUCGUUUUCGUGCUUCAUUUAAGCUUUUGGAUGGGGUGGCAAAGUGGGGCGGGCCAUGCGGGCCGGCCCACGACCCACGGGAAAAAACGCGGGGUGGGCUGACGUUUUCAACCCGCUGACCCGCAUUAGCCCGCCCCGCAUAACCCGCGGCCCGCACGGGCCAACAGCGGGGCGGGGCGGCUGGCCCGCUAGCCCACAAAAAAAAAAUAAUAAUAAUUGAUUUGACUUGCUAGAAUAUAACUUUCUCUGUUCAUCAAUUCUUGAAAUUUAUUCUAUAGUGGUUCAUUACAUUACAACAGUAACAAUUAAAUCUAGUGUGAUUAAACUAUUUUUUACAAAAUUUGAAGGUUCCUUUUAAGUGAUCAUCCCUUUAUAUUGAGACAAUGAUUUAACAAGACAUAUAGUUUAUAUUUUAUAAACUUUCUCUAUUAAGUAACUGGUAUAGACAUAUACAUAAAUUUUAUAUCUUGAAUCCUUUGUUGCGUUUGUUCUAAGCUUGAUUUCAUGAACAUUGGUUUCCAAACUCUCAAAAAAAAAAAAAAAGCGGGCCGACCCGCAAGCCCGCGGGCCAACCCGCAUGCGGGGCGGGUCAUGAAAACCAGCCCGCAUUUUGUAUGCGGGGCGGGCCUAAGCGGGGCGGGCUGACCCACUUUGCCACCCCUACUUUUGGAUGACCAUAUUCGGAAAUGAGUUAUGAAUUAUAGAUUUCCAUGUCCGGAAUGGUGUGCUAUAAAUGAUGCUGAGGAUUGGGAUCCAGAACUCAUUUAUGUUUGCUUACGGAUUUUGACAUCCAGAAGGUCAUUUAUGCUAUCCAGAUAAGCUUCCAGAUGACCAAAUCCAGAAGUGACAUAUUAGUUUCGGACUUGCAUAUCCGAAACUUUGUGAUUUAACUUACGGAAUAUCCAAAAGUCAAAGUCUUUUAAAUCAUUAAGGACAAAACGGACAUUUCAUGUUGGAUGCAAAUUUGAAUUGAUAUGGUGCAGGGAGAAUCAACCUUUUUUUUAUUCCUCUCUUGCUAUUUUGGACUCUUGGCCCUCAGUUUAAGUCCAACAACUUCUCUUUUUAUGUAAAACAUAGUAUAUAAUAUAAUCAACUAGAGUGAUGAUAAAGGAUAAUAAUAUCAGAAAAAUAUAAAAAUAUAUUUAAGAAGUAUAUAAUGUGAUCAACUAAUAAUAAUAUUAUAGUAGAAAAUAUAAAAAGUUGUUUAUAGCAUCAUAUAAUAUUGAAUUAUUAUGUUAUAAGUAUUUUAAUGUAUUUGUUUAUCCAAAGUAAACGUUUUUACUAGUUUAUGAACCUCCCGUGAGUUAAACUCUCACGUUUUAACCUUGUGUGUGUAUAGGUUCCCACCUCUUUAAAAGUGUGCCCUGUUCAGUAGAGAAAAAUAGUAUAAAAGAUAAAAAUGGGAGAAUGGAAAAUGAAUGAUUGUGAAAGCAAACCCAUGAAUAGAAGCAAAAUAGGGUGGCAAAAGUAUGAGAAGAAAAUGGGUAAGAAAGCAAUGCACUAUUUAUUCUAGGCAUGUUGAAUAUAAUAAAUUUUAAUUAUUGUACUUUCAUGCCUCUUGUUUUGCUCAGAUCUUUUUUCGCACCAAGGGAGAUAUUAAAUAAUCAUAAAAGCUCAGUAAAUAAAUAGAAAGAAAGGUAUUUGUUUUGUAAAUGAGAAGAGUUUAUAGUAAUCAUUAUGCUAGAAAAGGAUUUUUUUUUGCUCCUGACUUUACGAUAAUAACUUAUAAAGGUUAAAACUAAACUGGAAUUGUAUCUUAUCACAGAUGCCUGAUUAGUUUAACUUUUGCUACUAGAUAUCAUGGGUUCCAAUUGAGUAUAAUGCCCUCAGUCACAAUAUCAUGAUGAGAAUAGCUACAAGACAUUCCUAUUCUCAUUUUCAUCAUAGGUUAUGCAGAGUUAUACGCAGUAUAUCCCAUUAUCCAUCAAUGAACUUGACUCUUGGCUGAAGUCCCCGUCAAUUUAUGUUUUUGAUUGCUCUGCCGCUGGAAUGAUUGUGAAUUCCUUCAUUGAGGUAUCCACACUACCAUGUUAUUAAAUACUUAUUAAAGAAAUCCAAAUGUAUUGAUACUGAUUUUGUCUUUUUUUGGACUGCCAAAUUUGUUACUGGACUUGUUAUUGAUAAGCUUCAUGAAUGGAGUGCUUCCAACUUCUCUGUGUCCCAAAGGGAUUGCAUUCUGCUUGCAGCAUGUGAAGCACACGAGACUUUGCCUCAGAGUACAGAAUUCCCUGCUGAUGUGUUUACAUCUUGCCUUACGACGCCUAUAAAGAUGGCAUUGCGAUGGUGAAACUUCUCAUUAUUCCUACUUAGUUUAUCCUGUUCAGAAUGUUUAAAAAUUAAAACGUUAAACAUUCACAUAGGUUUAACAUACCUUAUUAUUAUUUUUUAAAUGUAAUAGCAUUAUGCAUGGAUUUUGAAAGCAUUGUGCAUGGACUUCUAAAUGAUGAACACUUUUGUAAGAUGAAUUGUUUUACUUUGCCUACCUAAUUUUAUACCUGAUUAUACUUUUCCAUAUCUGACCCUACUUAGCUACUUUUAUCUAAUAGCAUUCAUGAUAGCUGAUUGUAUACAUCAUAAUCCAGAAUCAUAAAUGUCAUUUUUUAUAAUAAAUUUCUCCCUGGUUGUAUUUUUGCUGUUUAACUGAUGCAUUAUCUUUACUUUAACUUUUGCCGCUGGACUUUUUGUUAACUGCAGUAGUGAUAGAAGAAAAACCCAUGAUAAAGAUGGUUUUUACUAUUAAAUUGAUUUAUGCUUGACAUCUACAAAUUACUAACUUAACUUUUCUCAUUUUCUCUAGCUCCUGAGCUUUCAAGUGUUGGUAACUGAUAAUUGUAUAUCUCAGCAAACUGGGUAUUGAUAACUUUUUUGUGAUGUAAUCUGUCUCCAGGAUUUGUACACGUUCAUUGCUUCGUGAGUCACUGGAUUAUUCACUUAUAGACAAGAUACCUGGCUGUCCUAAUGACCGAAAGACACUUCUGGGUGAAUUGAAUUGGAUCUUUACAGCAGUAACUGAUACAAUUGCCUGGAAUGUUCUUCCCCAUGGUGGGUCUCAACCCUCCCCAUCAUUUUCACCGACUUACUAAAUUGGAACAGUUUCUUUUUGAACUCCAGUUAUUUAGCAAACAUUUCUAGUUGGUAUCUUUUUUUUGUUUUUAUCUUAUAUUGAUAUGUCUUGCAGAUAUUUUUCAGAGAUUAUUCAGACAGGAUUUGCUUGUUAUAAGUCUGUUUCGAAAUUUUCUACUUGCUGAGCGAAUCAUGCGAUCUGCAAAUUGUUCUCCUGUUUCUCACCCAACGUUACCUCCAACCCACCAGCAUCAUAUGUGGUAUUGUUGGUGAUUAUUGUUAUGAUAUUUUUUUAUGUAUUGCCAAAUAUUUUCAACAGUUUAUGUUUUUUCUCCACACGUCAGGGAUGCAUGGGAUAUGGCUGCUGAGCUAUGCCUCUCUCAACUUCCAUCUUUAGUUGAGGAUCCUAAUGCUGAAUUUCAGGUAUCUGGAAUUCUGGAUUUAUUUUUUGUAAUAACUCUGAUGUAGAGUUUGUUCUGAAAUUGAAUAUUAAAUAAUAAAAAUUAGAUAAGGAAUUUUGGUUUAGCAAGGAAUAAUUGCAAUAUAAAGGAUUCUGUAUGAGUUUUGAGCUUACCUGAUGAAACAUGUUGUUCUCUAUCAGCCUAGUACAUUUUUCACCGAGCAGUUGACAGCAUUUGAGGUAUGGCUUGACCAUGGUUCUGAACAUAAGAAACCACCCGAGCAGUUGCCUAUAAUUCUUCAGGUGCGAUCCAUAUCUUUUUCUUGGUUUCCUUUUGAGCCAUUGUGUUGCUUCAUAAUACUCUUGUCAGGUGCUGUUCCUUACUUAAGCUUUUGGAGGGUAAUAUUGAAUUAUAUUUUCUUAGCUGAAAUUGUUUCAAUUUGGUCAGCGUUUCUUAUUAUCUUCCGUAUGAUAGACAUUUGUCAAAAGGAUGUUUUUGUUGUGAGCAUCUACUCUCUUAACAAUGGGGCUAGCUAUAUCUAGUUGUAAUAUGGCAAUGGACAUUUCUGAUUUGUUCAUGUAACCUACAUUACGUGGACUGUUUUAAAAUGUUUCUCACAAUGUGUGUUAUGGUCAAUUCCAGUGUCAAUUAUUUAUCAUUCAUUUAUUUUAGGGACUUUCUUGCAAUUUGUUUGACUUGGCAAUCAUCUUGCUUUGUCUUGACUCUGUACAGGUUCAGAAAUUGUAGCCUUAGUUGUUUGGUAACCAAUUGUUUUGUAUAAUCUCAUUUGCAAAAUGACAUUUUAAGCUUUCUUUAUGCACUUUUAAUUCACAUUAGUUUUUCUUUUUUUUUUCACAAUAUGUGUGUUUACCAGUUGUUGAUAUCUGUUGUAUGCAUUGUUAAGUAGCAUUGUUCAUAUUUCAGGUUUUACUUAGUCAAUGCCAUUGCUUUCGGGCCUUACUGCUCCUUGGAAGGUUCCUUGAUAUGGGGCCAUGGGCGGUCGAUCUGGUAAUUUUUUCUCUAGAUUCAUCAACUUUUGGUGUAAUUGGUUUACCUAUUUAUUUAUUUUUAAUAAAUGAUUUAUUGUAUGAUAACUUUGUUGAAAUGGUGAUUAUUAUUUUACCGUACAUCUUUCAUAAGGCUGCUGCUUUUUGUGUGUAUGUACCUAUCCUAAGGAUUGAGUGUUAUAGGCUAUAGCUUUCCUUGUAUUGUACUCUUCUCCUUUUCCAUAUAUAUGAAAUACAUAUGAGAACAUAACACACUGAUCGUUUAUCACCUCUAAAUUCAAAUUGGUACACAAUCCUUUUUUUCUUCGGUCGUCACAGGACGAUAAAGGAGAGUGGCAAAUUGCAAGCCUUCAAAAAGUCCUAUGGACCAAAAUGAAAAGCUAAUGGUGGACUAAGGUGAAAUUUUUUCAGAUCUACAUAGAUAUAGGAGGCUGGUGGACAAAUUCAUUUUUCUCACCAUUGUAAGACUUGAUAUAUCUCAUGCAACCGGAGUUGUUGGUCAAUUCAUGUAGAAUUUUCACAACCACGAGAAUGUUGUAAUUCUAACCCUCGUAUAUAUAUCAAAAAGGUUCCAAGACAAGGAUUGUUAUAUGAGGACAAGGGAAUUAUUCAACUUAUAGGGGUAUUGUGAUGUAGAUUGGUUUGACUGUCCCAUUGACAAAAUGUUGUUGCCUGGUCCAGUGUAGAAACUAAAUAUAGAUUUAUGACUUGGCCACUUGUGAACUUGUGUUUAGCAACUUCUUGAAGAGUUGAAAUUUUGUAAAGUUGAGCUGAUACAAUUGUAUUGUGAUAAUCAGGUAGCCUUUCAUAUUACCUCCAAUCCAGUGUUUCAUGAGAGAAUCAAACACAAAGAUCAAUUGUUAUUUUGUCAGGAAGGAGAUGUUGUCCAAGGAACUUAAUACUGGAUUUAUCAGCUCUAACUACCAGCUUGUUGACAUUCUAACCAAGUCUUUGAGAGGGCCUAAAUUUUGGUUUAUAUAUUCCAAGCUUGGUGCAUACAAUUUAUAUGCUCUAGCUUGAGGGGAGUGUUGAAAUUGUGAUUAUUAUUUUAUUGUACAGCUUUCACAGGAUGCUUUCUUGGGUGUAUGUACUUAUCCCAAGGAUGUUGUAGGCUAUAACUACGCCUUGUAUUGUACUAUUCUCCUUUUCUAUACAUGUUUAUGAAAUACAUCAGCUGAGAAGAUAACUUUCUAUUUUUAUCACCUCUAAAUUGAAGUAACUUGAUACCAAAUUUUUGAUACGUAGGCAUUAUCUGUUGGAAUAUUUCCUUAUGUUCUAAAGCUGUUGCAAACACCACCACCAGAGCUACGUCAGAUCCUUGUAUUCAUAUGGACAAAGAUUCUUGCACUUGACAAGGUAGAUUUGGAGAAAAAUAAUUUUUUUCUCUAAGUAAUUGUCAAUUACACAUGUUUGGUUUGGUUUAUUUUAGAGAAAUAAUUGUUUAUUUUUGUUGGGUUCUUAAGAGAACUUUUGAAUUUUUUUUUUCAAAAUUAAUCUUGACCAAACAUUUAUUAAAUAAUGUUGAAAAUUUGUCUUGGUCGGUGAAGGUUGCUUUUACUGUAGUAGUUAUUGCAGUACACUUGCUUUGCAUGGUGCUGGACAAGCCAAUAAAAGUAGAAGGGAAAAUAACAAAAAAACAUUUACCCUUUGUUUUGAUGAGAUGAGAGGAAAGAAAAUAAGGGAGAAUGGAAAAUUUUUAAAUUUUAAAUUAAGGGAAAAGUUUGAAAGAUUUUUAAUUUUGAAGUUCUUUUGCAUGAAUUUUCUUCCCUCCCUCUGAUCCCUAUUUGUAUCUUCUAUCAAACAAUAUUUUUUUUUUCAAAUUUAAGUACCCAUCUUCCCUUCCUUUUUUUUUCUUUCACUCCAUCCAAACAUAUGUAUGACCAAUAUGCUAUUCAUCAAUCAUCCUAUAUCCUACUAAAAAGUUACUAAUAAAAUCCUUAUUUAAAAACAUGAAAACUACAAAAUCAAAUCCUAAACUCAAUUAACAUAGGUGUGAAUAUUACGUAACAUUUUAUUUUUUGCUCUUACUUAUAGGACCUUUAUAAUUUUAUACCGAAAUUUGGUCUUGAACUCUGCAUGUUGAAUGUCUGCUGUGUCUGGCAUUAAUUCUGUUCCAUGUCUGGCUUGUAGUCAUGUCGGGUUGAUCUAGUGAAGGAUGGUGGUCAUAUCUAUUUCAUUAAGUUCCUUGACAGUAUGGAAGCAUAUCCAGAGCAACGUGCAAUGGCUGCUUUUGUUUUGGCUGUGAUUGUGGAUGGUCAUAGACAGGGCCAAGAAGCUUGUAUGGAAGCUGGUUUGCUUCAUGUCAGCUUAAAGCACCUUCAGAGUUCAUGUUCUAAUGAUUCACAAACUGAACCCCUUUUCCUUCAGUGGCUUUGCCUGUGUCUGGGGAAAUUGUGGGAAGACUUCUCAGAGGCACAAACAAUUGGUUUACAGGAAGAUGCAACUACUAUAUUUGCUCCUCUACUGUCUGAACCCCAGCCAGAGGUUUAUGUCCUACUUAUUAGUUCUAUUUCCAGUUGCCAGAUGAUUAUAAUUUUUGGUGUAUUAAUCAAAUGGAUUUAAUCAUACAAUUUAUUGUUUUACAGGUUAGGGCAUCUGCUGUUUUUGCACUGAGUACCCUCCUCAGUGUGGGAUUUGGUACAUGUAGAAGUGUUCAUAGAGAUGAAGAAUGUGAUGAUGCUGAAAAGUUUAGGGCUGAAGUUAGUGUAGUUAAGAGUAUCUUAUGUGUUGCUUCUGAUGGGAGUCCAUUGGUAAGGGCAGAGGUAGCUGUAGGUAGGUUAUAAGCAUCCGGUUAUUAUUUUUUAAUUGAUAUCAUCACUGCAAAUUCUUAAUCUUCAGCAAACAAAGUUGCUAAUGGAUGGUUGUUUCUGAACAUAGAGAAAGAUGAAAAACUUUUAAAUAAAAUGAUUGUUAUUAGUGAGUAAGAAAGAAAACUUCUGCACAAUAAGUUAUCAAACUUGCAUCUAAAAAACUUCAUUUUUUUUUCGUUUCUAAUUGUUGUCUCUAAUUUGGUUGUAAUGACUGUUAAUUGGUUAGUCUAAGACAACUUGUUGUUAUCAAUAUAGUAUGGGAAGGCUGGUAUACUUUAGAGAUGGAUCUGUGACAUGUUGCUGACUUUUUUCUUUCCAACUGCCAGCUCUAGCGCGAUUUGCUUUGGGACACAACAAGCACCUGAAAUCUAUUGCUGCUGCAUAUUCUCAAUCUAAUUCUUUGAUUAAUUCCUUACCUUCGUUGGCUAAUAUAAAAGGUUCAGUUGGUGGAUAUCCUAAACAGAACCAACAUAUACCUCAUGGAAGUAUUGUUUCUCCUGAAAUCGGUCCUAUGAGCGUUGGAAAUGACUAUUCUCUAGUGGCUCUAGAUGGUCGGGUCUCUUCUAGCAGUCCUCUUGCUGGUUUGAGUAUCAUGCAUGCGUACCCAUUGUCUUAUGAUUAUUCAUCUCAUCACUCUGAUUCAGGAAUUCUGAGUGAUGGUUUCAGCAAUGGAUUAGUUAACCACACUAGACUAAACCCCUUGGAGAAUGCAUUGUAUUCACAUUGUGUACUUGCUAUGUAUACUUUAGCGAAAGAUCCUUCUCCUCGUGUAGCAAAUCUUGGUUGUCGGGUACUGUCCAUCAUAGGUAUUGAACAAGUGGUUGUAAAGCCGUUGAAGUCUGGUGGUGUUCGAACUGCUGAAUCUACAGCUUCUCCUACUUUUGCUGGACUAGCUCGUUCGUCUUCUUGGUUUGAUAUGAAAGGAGGUAGAUCUUCCUUUCCAUUUUUCUUAAUGAUUAAUCCUGUGUAUGGUUUUUCCCUUAACAUCAAUUUUAUUUGUGAUAAUUCCUGCUGCUUUGUAGCAAGGCUUUCUGCUUAUUAUUGCUUGUUGCUCUGGCAGGACAUUUGCCACUGACCUUCAGAACUCCUCCAGUCAGUCCUCCUCUACCUAGUUGUAUAACUGAAAUGCGUAGGGUCUGUUCAUUGGAGAUUAGGCCCCACCUGAUGAAUUCUCCGGACUCUGGAUUAGCUGAUCCACUUUUGGGUUCUGAUGGAUCUUCUGGGACUUCAGAUCGAAGCCUUCUUCCACAAUCA
Molecule: long non-coding RNA, 35069 nt
Filed under: Phaseolus vulgaris (common bean)
Lineage: Eukaryota; Viridiplantae; Streptophyta; Magnoliopsida; Fabales; Fabaceae
Description: long non-coding RNA (PVUL_LNC001462)
Source: RNAcentral